GUUCAACUGACGGGUCCCGAACAGGAUGAAACGUGCGUCCUGGAU
Molecule: non-coding RNA, 45 nt
Filed under: Schistosoma margrebowiei
Lineage: Eukaryota; Metazoa; Platyhelminthes; Trematoda; Strigeidida; Schistosomatidae
Source: RNAcentral